UACGAAGGGGGCUAGCGUUGCUCGGAAUCACUGGGCGUAAAGGGUGCGUAGGCGGGUCUUUAAGUCAGGGGUGAAAUCCUGGAGCUCAACUCCAGAACUGCCUUUGAUACUGAAGAUCUUGAGUUCGGGAGAGGUGAGUGGAACUGCGAGUGUAGAGGUGAAAUUCGUAGAUAUUCGCAAGAACACCAGUGGCGAAGGCGGCUCACUGGCCCGAUACUGACGCUGAUGCGCGAAAGCGUGGGUAGCAAACAGG
Molecule: ribosomal RNA, 253 nt
Filed under: uncultured bacterium
Lineage: Bacteria
Description: partial 16S ribosomal RNA
Rfam family: Bacterial small subunit ribosomal RNA
Source: RNAcentral